This is a long non-coding RNA of Antechinus flavipes (yellow-footed antechinus), 1044 nucleotides long. RefSeq lists it as uncharacterized. NCBI's taxonomy places the organism in Eukaryota, Metazoa, Chordata, Mammalia, Dasyuromorphia, Dasyuridae. The transcript has 2 exons. The record is from RefSeq and is a predicted model, not a curated record.
AGCAUAGCAUAAAGGGUUAAACCAUUAUCGUGACAAAAAUAGUAAUAAUUUGCAUUAUAUGGUGCUUUAAAGUUUGAUUUACAUAUAAUUUGAUCCUCCCAGCAACCCUGUGAAUUAGAUGUUAUUAAAAAAAAAUCUCCCUUUUACAGUACAGGGACCUCAAAACCCAACAAUUUCUGAUAUAACACUUUUAGCUGAUAGCAUGGAUGUAAUUACUAUUCUCCAAAUCCAAUGUUAUAAAGGGGCUCCCUUGUAGGUUCUUGAAAUGGGACAGGCCAAUAAAAUUUGUUUGGUUGUUUGCCUUCUACGUAUGUUCAUCCUUUUCUGGGCUGUCUUCCAGGUAGUAAAAUACAAUUCCAGGCAUCCCUGAGCACAUAGUGCUGUAGAAACUAGUAGUCAAGUGGAUUGGUAUAUACUUAGUCUCCAGUGAAGAACAAAUCUAUAGUCAAAAUAUAUAAUUGUAUAGGAAACCAGGGAUUCCUAACAUUGUUUCAUACCUCCCAGUAGCUCAUGUUUCUUUUCUUUCUUGUAGCAAUCCUCCCCAGUAUCCCUCUCACCCCUUUUCCCUUCUGUUCUUCUCAAGAUGGGGAUGCUGAAAAGUGCAAGGCCUCUUUGGAGGUACAGUAGCAAGACUGGUCAGUCUAGAUAGAUUUAAGAAUAUAUAGUCUCAAAUUUAUAAGGUCCAGAACAUAGAUUUAGUGUUAGAAGAUUUUGAAAUAAACUAAUCCAAUCUCUUCACAGAUAAAAAAACCAAGAGAUAUAAAAUGUUUUACUCAUAUCAAUAGAGAGAGGCAAAAUUUGGUCCCGGCUUCUUUGUCUCCAAAUAUCAAGCUCUCUUCGCUGGAUCACACACUUGUGGCUGGAGAAGAAACACAGAAGUCAGUGAAGAAGCUCUGGGUGGCCUGACUCAAAACUCAUCCCUUCUGGGAAGCCUGGAAUAAAGAAAGUGGCUUUGCCAGACUCAACAAAUACCACCUUGAUGGGCCCCAAGGGGACAGCAGCCAUCAGCUAAAUAAUAAACAAACCAUUAGGUGAAAGAACAGA